CAUGGAUCCAUGGCUCCCUGAGCUCGCUGGCUAGGGAUUCGGCUCCUCCGCUGCUGCGGCUGCGUGGUCGUGGAGGAGGACGGCGCUGUGAGGUGAGGAAGAAAUCCCCGCUCCGCUGCUCCAGCGCCGCUCCACAUCAAGCACCACUGCCAAGCCGGUGUGGACGCACGCGGAUCCAGCCUCCACCGCCCAGAAGCUUGUCGCCGGCGCCUAAAAAUCAAGCUUUUGACCUACGGUACGGGGUGCGCUGUGGGAGGAAACGGGGUGCGUGGUGGUGGAGAGAAAGGGAAUCGAGGAGAGGCCGGUGACGGCGGCGAGGAGAGGCCGGCGAUGACGGGGAUCUGGAGGAGAGCGAGAAGGGGUGGGUGAGAGGGGGACGAAUGAGUGAGCUCGAGUGUGUGAGAGCGGUGGUGGGAGGGUAUUUCUGGAAAGUGAAAAGUAUUCGUAGCGUGAAAGGGAAAAGGGCUAAGCGGUGAGGGGAAAGUGAGAGCGGUGAGGAGAGGGUGAGACUCACAGUCACAGCUGCAAUACGAAGUAUAUUUUUUUUAGAGAUUUCAAUAAAGGACUACAUAAGGAUGUAUGAAGACAUAAUUUAGAUUAUAGAAUCACUCAUUUUGCUCGGUAUGUAGUCCAUGUUUGAACCGAGGUAUUUAGAAACGGAGGGAGUAGAACCAAGGUAUUUAGACGGUCUGUGAGGGCUAUCAAAUUUCUUAGAUGUCUGUCCUUUUAACCUUUUAUUUUCCAUGUUGCAUAUGAAUUAUGAUACUAUUCCCCGAAAAAAUGGUACUACUAUAUUUAAUUCACUUUUGCAGAAUGUGUCUUUGAUAGAUAUGGAUAUUGUUAAUUCACGUCAAGUUAUCUUUUUACAUCAUAUUUCGUAUUCCCGUGGCAACGCACGGGCAUUCAACUAGUAUGUCUACAAGAGCUGAAGAUUAUAGACCCCUCAUGGUCCCUCAAUAUCAUUCCACAUCCUGCCUCCUCUCCCAACACUGAGGCAUCCGUAUUUAAUUUCACCCGGCCAAAACCCGGCUUCACCCAUAGUGCAUCUGCAAUCACAUCUAUCUGGAGUCUUUUAUGGCUCUUUUCAAGGACUGAAUCCAGUAUCGCCUUGCCUUUGAUCGGAUCGUCACUAGGGUUGGUAUUGAUUGCAUAUAAUGAAGAAAGGUAACUGGACAGGAAACGAACAGAUACUUCCAUUGGUGGUGGCCUUUUAGGCCUUGUACAAUGCUAGGUGCUUAGGGAGGUGCUUAGAGAAAUAAACCGGCUUUUUCUGAAGCACCGGUGUCUAUUUCUACAGGAGAGACGCCUAAUUAAGCGUUUUUCAUGUACAAAUAAGCACCGGUGCUUAAGGAAAGCUUGGUUUAUUUCUCCAAGCAUCUCUUCUAAGCACCUUGCAUUGUACAAGGCCUUAUGGUGCACCAACUCGUUUCGAACAAACCAAAUCCUCCAAAACAGCAUCAUCACAAAAGCUCUGCCUUCCUCAUUUGUUUCAGCUAAAAUAUGGAUGAACCACUCAGGCCCCACAUGUUUUAGCAUGGUCCUGGAAGGGAGGUUCCACACCUUUGCCAUCAAUUUCCAUAGGAUCACUGCAUGAUUGCAGGAGCAGAAGACAUGGAACGAAUCCUCAUCUUCCCUGCCGCACACUGGGCAUAAAGGCGACACUUCCAGCUUGCGUUCAACUUUGUUGGUCCAGUUCACUAAAGAAUCAGUAGCUAAUCUCCAUGCGAAGCUCUGAACUUUUGGGGGCACCAAGCUUUUCCAUAUGUGAUUCCAAACUGCUCUCGUACCAUCCGGAGAAGAGCUUGAAGAAAGCUCCUGAUGGUUUGAGGCUUCAUCACUAGCAAGCUCCUGAUGCGGUGUGGAUUUUGGGAAGCUGGGACUCCCGGUUAGGCAAAAACACAAUUUAAAUCUCUACUAUCUAAAAGAAACAUAAGGUUCCCUCUCCCCUCUUAUGUCAAAUCUUUCGUCCAACCUUUUCUUCCACCCCUCCUUACGUACGCUCCACCUUCCCGAUUUCCUAUUUCACAUGAUUUGGCAAGCUAAUCAAUCUCUACUAUCUAAAAGAAAUGUAAGGUUCCCUCUCCCCUCUUACGUCAAAUCUUUCGCCCAACCUUUUCUUCCACCCCUCCUUACAUACGUUCCACCUUCCCGAUUUCCUAUUUCACAUGAUUUGGCAAGCUAAUCAAUGACGAUAAAAAAAACCCCAGCAAAUACUGAUCACUUUCCUCCCAAGGCCAAAAAUUGAUCUCGCAAUCCUCUCACCCCUUUGUUCUCGCGGUCCUCUCAACCCUUUAAUCUCGCAAUCCACUCAACCCUGCCGAUUUUGCAUUUCACGUGAUCUGAUCGGAAUCCCCUCGCCCCUUUAAUCUCGCAAAAAGUCUAAUGCCUCAGCCCUUACAACACUCGAGGACUCAGCCUCACGCGCAGCUCAACCUCGCCAAGCGCGGCGCGCGGGGAUCAUGGCCCCAGAGCCGCCGACGUCGCCCUCCGCCACAUCUCUCCAAACGCCGACCCGCAGGACUCGACGCAUACAUGGCCACCUCUGCCCACGACAUCCACAUGACACCUUGCAGGACUACCGCACAGACGUGCUGGCGAGUCGCCUCGUGCGCGCUCGGUGCACCAUGAGGACCACUAGAGUUGUGUCAAUGUCGUCGAAGAUCACAUGGCAGCAGGGACAUAGAUCAUGGGUAUGAUCAGGAAAAGCCACCAUUGAGCGUGCUGCUCGAGGAGAACGCGAUGCUAUUUUUGCAUGACAAGCGACCAAGAGAUUGCAUGAGAAGAACAAGGUGUUGAUGGAGCACGUGCAGUGGCGGCGGGGUGGUGCUGGAUCGCGGAUGGCUUGCGCAGCAGGACCGGUACGGUGAAGAUGGAGCGCCACACCACAAUAAUAAGAAAGGCGGUCGAGCCAGAGAUGAGCAACUACACGCUCAAUGGCAUCAUGUCCAAGUGAGCUUAUUCUCUCGUUCCAUUCUGCACUUAUUGGUCUUUUCUUUUUCUUCUUUCAGAUCUAUGAGAAAUAUGAUGUUUUGGUUUUAUAGAAUUCUUAUCCUUUAGAAGAGUUUGUUUAGUGGAUGAUCUUGAAUUGCGGAUCAUGAAAAGAUGUAAUGCUUAGGGAUUUUUGUCAGAUGAUUUCAGGAUCUUUUUUUAGUUUUAGUACGCAUCUGGAUACUAUUUGCAUGAUCAAAUCUCAAAAGAUUGAUAGUAUUUGCGAAAUCUGAAUCUGAAGAAUACAUAUAUACUGACAUGUGGCUUUGCUUCUGCCAACGACAAAGUUGUACUUUACAACACCCAGUCCUGGAUUUUAUGCAAUCGGCUUCAAGUGGUACUUCUACGGGUUACAAAGUAUGGCUCACUAUCAGUAACUAUGGCACGAAAUUAAAGAUCUAACCACAAUCAUAGGUACUGUUACGGCUGUUGCAGAUAGAUCAUGUUGCUGAAAUCAUUUCCUACUGCAGAUUUCCACAGCCAUGCUCAAGCUUUACAACAGCGAGCUCUUGACGCACUUGCUGAUCGAGCAAACCACCCUCGUGGUGCUCCUGGACAAUGUGUGUCCGACCUACACCAACCUGGAAAGACAAAUAUCAAGGGUUAUAUCAUAGUUUUCACUCUUAAAGGUUUCAUUAACUUUAUCCAUUUCACUUGAUCAUUGUUUGAUUCAUCUGCUAGAAUUGUCAUCCGUAGCAACGUAGGUAAGAAAUAAUCAACCAUUUUUUCUUUCAUUCACAUUUAUUAGAAGGGGCGCUUAUGGCUCUAAAAUUGGCACAUAGGAACGCAUCAGCUGCCUCUAUGACUUUAUUAUCACAACUGGGGAUUCCCUCCUGGAGGGAAGAUAUGUCAAUUUGUAGAUCAAUAUUAAUUUGUUUCUAUAUUUUGUGUCCAAAUUGUAUUUUGUAGUUCAUAUGGGUUGAACAUGACAUUUUCUUUUAAUUAGCUUCUGUUGAAUCAUAUUGAACUCGAAUUAUGAAUUAGAAUGCCGAACUGGGCACUACUAGAUGUGAUAAUAUGCGGCAUGAGGCAACGUGGACUUUUUCAGGGAGUCGUCUGAACUAGAACAAACCUCAUGGAUGAUAAUGGAGCAUAAGAGAGAAUUUUGUUUCACAGUCGCCAACCUCUUGACAAAAAAAAUCACAUUCACACAAUAAAUGAUGUCGUAAAAUUAUGUUUUCCUGUAGCAACGCACGGACAUUGUCCUAGUACAGUAAAAAAACAGAACAAGCAUUGUCAGCUGUGUUACUCACGUGCAAGUUUUAAGACAAAAUGACUUAUGUGAAAUUGUUGGCAAAAAAGAUAAAAAUUGCAAGUUUUUUUUUGAGAAUCUCACAAAGCUUUAUUACUGAAUCAUAAUGUUCAUAGGUACAAAAAGAAGAUCGCCGGGUUGUCCUAGCCAAGUGUGUCGGCCAAACCCUAAAGAUAACGCAUGCUUUGCGAGAUUAUGGGCCUCCGUAUUGGAGGUCCUAUACUCAUGAGUAAACGAACAUGAAAUAAAGGUAGUUGCUCUAGUCUUGAUUUCCUCGACAAUGGCUCCAAAUUCUGCUGAGCUUCCCUGUCUGAUUGCAUCUACCACCACCUUGCAAUCGGAGGCAACAAGUAAAUGGUUGAUAUAGAGAUCUUCUGAAAGUGCUAAUGCCUCCCGAACAGCUAGUGCUUCUAGCACUUGGGGGUUGUGCAGUCCUCUGAAAACGAGAGCUGACGCUCCCAUGAACAAACAUCUCUCAUCCCUGCAAACCACACCAACUGCGCCAAACGUACCUGGGCGUGACACGGCCGCGUCCACAUUGAGUUUGUAGUAAUCUGUUGGUGGUGGAAUCCACGUACGGGGUCGUGGUACUGCUAUCCCAUGUGCUUCCUCCUUCUUCUUCUUCAAAAACUCUAUGUCUGAUAAGUAAGCUUUGAUGAAGUUGUCAGUGGCAAACGGAGUCUGGUAUAUAUCCUCAUGUAUAGCUUUCCGUCUUGCACUCCAAAUCGCCCAUAAAGUAACAAUCAUCAACUGAAAUUGCUCCGGUGGAAGAGAGUCAUUCAUGGCAAAGAGCCACAGCCGUGCGUCAGGUUCUGAGGUUGCCCACAUGUGCUCGACCAUCUCGGCUUCUGAAAGUGCCCACACACACCUAGACACAUUACACUCCAGCAAAGAAUGCCGCCAGGUAUCCUGCCCUCCGCAUAGGGAGCAAGCACUCGUAGUGGCCAUAUGACGAUGGUUUAGGACAUCUCCCGUAGGGAGUGAGUGUUGCGCCAAUCGCCAAGUGAAAAAGCGCAGUUUCGGUGGCACUGACAUGUUCCAUAGCGAGUUCCACCCCCUCAUCUCAUGUUCAGAGUUGGAAGGAUCCUCCCUUUCCUCCAGCCAUGCCUCGCGCCCAAUCUUGAUCUUGACAAUCAUCUUAUAAGCUGACCGUACAGAAAAACGCCCCCUUGGAUCAUCAUUCCAUGCCCAGAAAUUGUCCACACGCCGUGUACAGAGCGGUAUUUGCAAGAUCGCCUCCACAUCAAUGGGUAUGAACACCUGUCUAAGCAAGUCCUCUCGCUAUGCAGCUCUAGUGUGGUCGAUCAGAUCAGAAACCAGUUGCGGUGGGUCAGCAACUAAGGAGGCCACCGGCUUCAUCAUUCCGUCCCUUGGGAUCCAACUAUGUUGCCAUAUGUUCGUGGUAGUUCCAUCACCAAUACGCCGGAUAGCUCCUUGGGUGAUAAUAUCUCUCCCAUCAAGUAUAGAUCGCCACACCUGAGAAGGAUGUGGACCUAGUUGAGCUUCAAGGACUGUACAUUGUGGAAAAUAUGAUGCUUUAAGGAUUUGUGCACUAAGAUAGGAGGGAUCAUUCAAUAAUCUCCAAAUUUGCCGAGACAAAAGUGCCAAGUUGAAGAUUUCUAUAUCUCGAAAGCCAAGUCCUCCCAAACUUUUCGGUCGGGUCAUCAAAUCCCAAGCUACCCAACAUGGUUUCCUCUUGCCUCUCUUGCUCCCCCACCAAAAUUGACGAAUGAGUGACGUAAUGCUUCCACAAAGGCCUCGAGGUAAUCUGAAGCAAGACAUCGAAAAAACUGGUAAAGCUUGAGCCACAGAUUUUAUGAGAACCUCCUUUCCUGCCACUGAUAAAAGUUUCUCCAUCCAUCCCUUUAUCCUUUCCCAAACUCUGUCUCGUAAAUAUUUGAAGGUGCCAUUUUUGGACUGUCCAACAUCGGUCGGCAGACCCAAAUACUUUUCACUCAAAGACUCAUUCUGCACAUUAAGUAUAUUCUUUAUCUCCACCCUAAGGGUCUUCGGGCAUCCCUUACUGAAAAAUAUGGACGAUUUAUCAUAGUUUACCCUUUGGCCCGAAGCCAAGCAAUAUGCAUCAAGUAGGUUUGAAACCUCAUUUGCCCCCUGGACACUAGACUUGAAAAGCAGCAGGCUGUCAUCUGCAAACAAAAGGUGGUUCACUACCGGAGCCGUGGGCGCCACCUUUAUGCCACCGAGCACUAAUGACUGAGAACUGUGUUUUAAAAGGCACGAAAGGCCCUCCGCUGCAAUCAAGAAUAAGUAAGGGGAAAUAGGAUCUCCCUGCCUGAUACCCCUGGAAGGUGAGAAGCUCUCUAAUCUUUCUCCAUUAAACAAGACCGAGAAUGAAACAGAAGUGAUCAUACUCAUAACUGUAUGGAUCCAAUCUGGUGCAAAGCCAAGCUUAACCAUAAUUGCCUUUAGAUAAGGCCACUCUAGUCUGUCAUAUGCCUUCAUCAUAUCAAGCUUAAGUGCACAAAAGCUGUUUGUCUUGGAUCUGUUUCUCUUCAUGAAGUGCAAACAUUCAUACGCACAAAUAAUAUUAUCCGUGAUCAACCUCCCGGGAACAAAGGCUGAUUGCUCCUUUGAGAUAAUAUCUGGCAAUAUCAACUUCAAUCUAUUCGACACCACUUUAGAAGCUAUUUUAUAAAUCACAUUGCAAAGGCUGAUAGGCCUAAACUGGGUAAGUAGAGUGGGAUUUUGUACCUUGGGUAUCAACACGAGUACCGUAUCAUUAAUGCUUGCAGCAGUCUCCUCUCCACGGACGAUCCGAAGCACCACUUUAGUUACUUCAUCCCCACAAAUGUCCCAGUGGCGCUGAUAGAAGUGUGCAGGAAAACCAUCUGGCCCCGGUGCCUUCGUAGGAAACAUCUGAAACAGGGCCUGCUUUACUUCCUCAUUUGUGUAAGGAGCGCAAAGCGAAGCAUUCAUCUCUGGUGUCACUUUCCGAGGCACAUGUUGUAAUACAUCAUCUACCCCCUGUACACCUUCCGUCGUGUACAAGGUUUUAUAGAAAUCUGUCACAAGUUGUUUCAUCUCAGCCUUGUCCUCUACUCUUAUACCCAGCGCAUUGUGUAGAGCUCGAAUCAUAUUCUUCCUACGCCGCAUAUUUGCUCUCAUGUGAAAAAAUGUUGUGUUGCGAUCACCCGCAGUCAGCCACUGUAUGCGCGAUCUUUGUCUCCACAUUAACUCCUCCCUAUGAUAGAGCUCAACCAGUCGUUCAUUCAACUUUUGCUCAAGGUGAUUUGGAGCAGUCCUAGACGGAACACUCCGAAGCCUCUCUAGCUCCGCUUUUGCCUUCUUGAUCUCCUUCCUAACACUUCCAAAAGUUGCAUCCUCCCAUGCCGAGAGGUUCUUUGACAGAAGCUCCAAUUUUCUGCGAAUCCCCUCAACUCCUUGAUCCGCUUGCAGUUUGCUCCAUCCUGAGCUGAUAGUGUCACGCCAUGAUUCAUGUGACUCCCACAUCACUUCGUACCGGAAGCUCGGUUUAGGGCGUGGUAAAACCUCUUCAAACUGUACGAGUAUUGGUCCAUGAUCCGAGGACGCCGAAGUUAAGUUUGUAACCUUGGCCAUAGGGAAAAGCGCCGCCCAAUCAGCUGUGGCCAUCGCUCUGUCAAGCCUCACGCGGGUGUAGGAUCCCCCGGUCACUUUUUUCUCAAAGGUCCAAAAUCUGCCAUGAUAGCCCAAGUCCAUCAACAUGCAAAUGUCAACCGCAUCCCGGAAACCUUGUAUUUGUGCAUUACUCCGAUUAGCAGCUCCCUCAUGUUCAUCCGGACGUAAAACUUCGUUAAAAUCGCCCAAACACAGCCAAGGGAGGUUGCUAAAAGACGCCAACCCCUUUAGGAGAUCCCAUGUUUGGUGUCUCAGUUGUGUCUGGGCCUCGCCAUACACGCAUGUCAACCUCCAUGGGUCUUUCCCUUCCUCUACCACCUUCGCAUCAAUAUGAUAAACAGAAUCACCCAAGAUCUCAACAUUUAUUGUAUUAUUCCAAAAAAUCCCUAUUCCUCCACUUCUUCCUUGACUAUCUAUCGCAUAGGCAUUAUCAUAGCCCAAAGUGUUAGCUAAAGCUUCUACACGUGCACCCUUUACUUGAGUUUCAACAAUACACAACACGGUAGGGGUAAAUUUCUUCGCAAAGUCGCGAAGCUCACAAACUGUCGCGGCUUUACCCGCGCCGCGACAGUUCCAACAAAAUGAACUCAUUGCGUUCGGCGGCACUCCUCGGAGGAGCCCGCCGAUCCAUCAUACUGGUCCUUGCCACAUUCCACUCCAUCUGUCACCAUACUCGGUGUCCCUGCAUCAGACAGCUCCUUAAACAGGGCUCCUUUAUUGCCAACAUCUUUCUUUCGUCGCUUCACCUCUUUCCUUGGAGACACAUAUACAGGUGGCAUCGGUGGAACCCCGUCCGGCUUUCCAGAGAUUACAAGAGCUGUAGAGCUCACUGGGACCACGUCCCCUUCUCCAUCGUCGCUCGACUGAACUGUCUCUGGAUGGUUCUUGUCCGAAGAUUGCCUCUUGUUACUUGCCACCACUACCCCCAGCGUUGCAGCAGUCGGUUCCUUGAUCAUACCCUUGGGCUCGCUUGGCCCCGAUACUUCUGUGGUCAUUGCAUUGUCCUCUCCUUCAUCCUGCCUCCCCGCCUCCCUGCGAGGUUCAUUCUGAUAUGCAUUGAAGCGCCAACUUUGAUUGGGGUUAUACUGCUCUCACCCCCUACCUCUUCCUCCUGCAUUCCUUGGGCCGCCUCGUCCCCUCUGGUUACCAAAACCACCUCUGCCAGGUUGCCUGAAGCGAAUAUUGUCAGCCAGAACAAAUUCACCCCACUCAAACUUUGUCUCAUCAUGAACACCAUCACCACACUCCUCGUGCCAAUGCCCGCAUUCACCACAGUUAAAGCAAAAGACAGGUAAUUUCUCGUAUUUUACUUGAUAUCUAACUCGUUCAUCCCCCUUCUUUCCAGUGACAAACCUCUUAAUUUUUGCGUUGAUAUCGUUUUCACCCUCACCCGGACAAAUUCACCAAAGAAACCUGCCGGUAGCUUGAGCUGCACUUCUUCCACCUCGCCAAUUCGCGAUGCCAUCCCCCUGACUGCAGGCUCGAUCAAAAAGUUGUCAGGUAAACGAUGGAUUUGCGCCCAAACUGCCAACUUAUCCAACUUGAUGCUAUCAGGGUUUUUGAACCCAUCAUACUCCACCAAAAUCACUGCUUGGUCUCUGAAAAGCCAUGGCCCCUCUAGCAUGGCCUUAUUCCAAUCCCCUAGACAACCAAACUGCGCUGUGAACAAGUUGUCCUUCACCUUCCUCCAGACCACCGUUUUCGCUGGAUUCCAGGCUGCACGCAUGUCCCCAUAAAGAGCAUUAGGGCUGAAAGUCCUUGUAGUGUGUACCCUGGCUAUGGCUAGCCACUUCGCCGGCGCCCCCAGAUCCGGCAACUCCUCCUCCCACACGAAAUCAUCAUCUUCCUCCUCCUGCAAAUUCAACCUGGCUAGCAGCUCCUCCGUCGUCUCCUUGCCAUGCCGCCCCUUCGAGCUUGAUCCCGACGCCAUGAACCGAGCAGUCUAGUCGCCGCCAAUGAAAACCCUAGAUCGAUUUGCCGGAGAAACCACUAUAACCAAGGCCGGGUAAGGUCACGAGGGGCCUCCCUUGAUCAGCCCGAGUCCAUGGGAUCACCAGCAGGUUCGAUCGGGGAAAAGAAGGUAAGAUCCGGCCGCGGCGCCGGAGUAUGUCGAAACCCUAGGCUAUCGCCGUCGGGGAGAGAAAACUCGCCGAGAGAAAACGACUCACGGACUCGCCCCUAUUAUCUGGAUGGAUGGAUGGAUAAUCUGGACUGGUGAAGGCGAGGGGAACCUCACGCAUCGACUCGCGGGAUCCAUCCAGGAACGCACGCAUGCAUCGCCAUCAUGUACGCAGCAGCCGCCGCCUUUGGAUGGAACCCUACGUUUUGCGUUGAUAUCGCUUGAUAAAAAUUGCAAGUACAACCUAUGUUCGGGUACAUGUGCACCACGUUCCAAGGUGUAUUUUUGACAGAUCGUGUUCUCAUAAAGCAAAACUAACAAGCAAAAGGCGACUCGUAUUUUUUUAGAUGUCCAUCCUCCAGGUUAAAUGUAGUUAAUUAGAUGCGCCUGAUGAGUGCAAAUACUCCCUCCGGUUUUUCUACUCAACAUAUAAGAUUUGUCUGGAGUCAAUCUUCAUAAAUAUUGACCAAAUUUUUCAAAAAAAAUCAAUAUCUACAAUAUUAAAGUUAUAUAUGUGAAAAUUAAUUCCAUCAUGCAUCUAAUAAUAUUCAUUUGGCACUGUGAAUGUUGAUAGUUUUUCCUAUAAACAUGGUCCAACUUUAUGAAGUCUAACUUUAGGCAAAUCUUAUAUGUGAAGUAAAAUGAAAAGGUGGGAGUAAAACCACAAUUUUAUGCACAAAUGUCACAAAAAUCUGUCAAGUGCCCUUGCAGUAGGCAGAAGAGGAUGUUCUUGGAUUGGGCUGCCGAUUACUAUAUNNNNNNNNNNNNNNNNNNNNNNNNNNNNNNNNNNNNNNNNNNNNNNNNNNNNNNNNNNNNNNNNNNNNNNNNNNNNNNNNNNNNNNNNNNNNNNNNNNNNNNNNNNNNNNNNNNNNNACUUAUUCAACAUUUUUCAAAUAUUCGUUCAACAUUUUUUAAUACUUAUUCAACAUUUUAGAAUACUUAUUCAAAAAUUUAAAAUACUUGUUCAACACUUUCUAAAAUACUCGUUCAACAAUUUUUAAUACUUAUUCAACAUUUGUCAAAUAUUUGAUCAACAUUUUUAAUACUUAUUUAACAUUUUCAAAUACAUGUUCACCAUUGCUUAAUAUUUAUUCAAUAUUUUCCAAAUAAUUGGUCAGCAUUUUUCAAAUGUGUUUCUGAAGAGCAUUUUUUGUUUAUAUAUGUAGAAUACUUUAAAGUAUAAAGAAAAAUACAAAAAUAAAGCAAAAAACUAGAACACAAAACAGAAGAAAAAAACAGGUUGUGGCCUCCCGCGUGGCUGGGCCGUCCCAUCUAGGGCUUCUCCCGACGCCAGGCUUCCCCUAUGCUCUCUUAGAGCGAAAAACAGGGGUGCACCAUCCCCCCUCCCAGGUACUCGAGUAUCAGAUACUCAAAAAAAAAGGUACUCGAGCAUCAGGACUUGAGGAGAAACCCCGUCAAAACUAUUCUUCUCCUAAUUGCCUUUUUUAGUGGGUAACUCUAUUUAGGUUGAGCGUGCUAUGUAUUGCUUAUAGCAAUAGGGAUGCAGCCAUUGUACACAAUGUUUUCCAAAAGUAAAUGGUUCCAAUAAUAUAUAAUUUUGAAAAUAAGUUUACUUCAUUUAUUAUGAAUAAAACAUUUUAAUAUACUAAAAUGAAAUUUUUAUUUGCGUGUUGCAAACAAAAAAUUCUUGCAUAUGUAAGAAAGUUUAUGCAGUUUAAGAAAAUAUUUUGUUUUUUUUAUAGAAAUGACAAUUUAUAUAUGUUAGUACGCAAGCAUGCCAAAAGUAUUCAUUUAAUUUAAGAAAUGAGUCAUGUUCUAAAAAAUGACCAUGUACUUUAAAAGUAAUCAUACAUUCCCACAAAAUAAUUGUGCAGCUUUCAAAAAUAUCUGUGUUUUUAAAAAUGCGUAUGUAAUUCUAAAAAGUGAUCACACAUUUUAACAAUGUUAUUGUAAUUACAAAAUUUCUUUCAUACUUUAAAAAAUAAUUGAAGAAAAGUUGUUCUUAUAUUAUUUAUAAAGUGUUCACUCAUUUUCAAAAUAACCGUGCGUUUAAAGAAAAAUGUUUAAACUUUAGUAAAAGGAAGAAAUGUUCUGCACAAAAUAAAUAAAAGGAAGAAACGGGAAAAUGAUAAACAAAUACAGGAAAAAAAACAGAAAGGAUCCAAGGCCUCGAGGUGGCGUAGUGCUCCCGUCAGUGCUGAACGCGUGAGUGAGGCGAUUUCAAGCCGAACGGGUUGGGGAUCUGACCGGGAAGCCGUCACGUAACACGCGAGUACUAUAUCUCGCAUCAAGGCACCUCUAGCAUCGAGGCUACAAUGAGGGAUCGAUCUAGGAUGGUACUCGCAAGGUAUGGGUACGGGUGGAGCCACCCCAUAUCCUUACCGUCCAUCCUGAACUUGUUGGAAAUAUACCCUAGAGGUAAUAAUAAAUUGGUUAUUUUCAUAUUUCCUUAUUCAUGAUAAAUGUUUAUUAUUCAUGCUACAAUUGUACUUAUCGAAAACUUAAAUACAUGUGUGAAUACAUAAACAACACUGUGUCCCUAGUAGGCCUCUACUAGACUUGCUCGUUGAUCAAAGAUGGUUAAGGUUUCCUAACCAUAUACAUGAGUUAUCAUUUGGUAACGGUAUCACAUCAUUAGGAGAAUGAUGUGCUAGUCAUACGGGAUCACAUCAUUAAUAAUGAUGUGCUAGUCAGAGCCAACCGCAAGCUUAGCAUCAGAUCGUAUCACUUAGUUAUUUGCUACGACUUUCUUCAUGUCAAGUGUAUAUUCCUUAGACCAUGAGAUUGUGUCACUCCCAGACACCGGAGGAAUAGCUUGUGUGCUAUCAAACGUCACUUUAUAACUGGGUGAUCAUAAAGGUUCUCUAUAGGAAUCUUCGAAGGUGUCUGUUGAGUUGUACAAUCGAGACUGCGAUUUGUCACUCCGCGUGACGGAGAAACAUCUCUGGGCCCUCAAGGUAAUACAACAUCACAAGAAGUUUCAUGUGACUAAUGAGUUUAGUCAUGGGAUCUUGUAUUACGAACGAAUAAAGAGACUUGCUGGUAACGAGAUUGAACUAGGUAUGUGUUGGGCAAGGUUGCAUGGAAAUUAAAAAAAAAUCUACGCACACACAAUGAUUUAUCCAUGGAGAUGCAUAGCAAUGAGGGGGAGAGUAUGUCUACGUAUCCUCGUAGACCGUAAGCGGAAGCGUUUCACAACGUGGUUGGUGUAGUCGAACUUUCUUCGCGCUCCAACAGCACGACGGCGUGGUGACGGUGAUGGUGAUCUGAUCUCCGCAGGGCGUCGCACGACACCUCCACGUUCUGCACACGUUUAGCUCGGUGACGUCCUCCACCUUCUUGAUCCAGCAAGACGAAGAGGUAGUAGAUGAGUUCCAACAGCAUGACGGCGUGGUGACGGUGAUGGUGAUCUGAUCUCCGCAGGGCGUCGCCUAAGCACUACGAAAAUAUGACCGAGAGAGUAAACGAUGGAUGGGGGCGCCGCACACGGCUAAGACAAUGUUGUGUUCUUGUGUGGCGCAUAUAUAUAGGUGGGAGGAAGGGAGGAGCAGCCAAAGAAGGCGCCUAAGUAGGAGGAAUCCUACUUGGGGUCCCUCCCAAACUGUGCCCCCUUUCCUUAUUUAGAGUGAGGGGAAAGGCAGGGGAGGGUGCCCCCCUUUCCUUUCUCCCAUGAGAGGGAAAGGCAGGAGGGGCUAGCCCUCACCCUUUUCCUUCCCUAGGGCUGGCCAAACAAGGGAGGAGGCGCACCAGCCCCCUUGUGGGCUGGUCUGUCCCCUCCUUUGGCCCACAAGGCCCAUUACUUGCCGAGGGGGUGCUCGGAACCCCUUCCGGUGACCCGAUUCCUUCCCGGUACGUCCCGAAACACUUCUGGUGUUCAAAUACCAUCAUCCUAUAUCAAUCUUUACCUCUCGGCCAUUUCAAGACUCCUCGUCAUGUCCGUGAUCUCAUCCGGGACUCCGAACAACAUUCGGUCACCAAAACAUAUAACUCAUAUAACAUUAUAUCAUCAACGAACGUUAAGCGUGCGGACCCUGUGGGUUCGAGAACUAUGUAGACAUGACCAAGACACCUCUCCGGUCAAUAACCAAUAGCGGAACCUGGAUGCCCAUAUUGGCUCCAACAUAUUCUAGAAGAUCUUUAUCGGUCGAACCGUUAUGACAACAUACGUAAUUCCCUUUGUCCAUCGGUAUGUUACUUGUCCGAGAUUCGAUCGUCAGUAUCUUCAUACCUAAUUUAAUCUCGUUACCGCCAAGUCUCUUUACUCGUUUCGUAAUACAUCACCUUGUGACUAACUCCUUAGUCAUUUGCUUGCAAGCUUAUGAUGUGUAUUACCAAGAGGGCCCAGAGAUACCUCUCUGAUACUCGGAGUGACAAAUCCUAAUUUUGAUCUAUGCCAACUCAACAAACACCUUCGGAGAUACCUAUAUAGCAUCUUUAUAAUCACCCAGUUACGUUGUGAUGUAUGAUAGCACACAAGGUAUUCCUCCGGUAUUCGGGAGUUGCAUAAUCUCAUAGUCGAAAGAAUAUGUAUUUGACAUGAAGAAAGCAAUAGCAAUAAACUGAACGAUCAUUAUGCUAAGCUAACAGAUGGGUCUUGUCCAUCACAUCAUUCUCCUAAUGAUAUGAUCCUGUUAUCAAAUGACAGCACAUGUCUAUGGUUAGGAAACCUUAACCAUAUUUGAUCAAUGAGCUAGUCUAGUAGAGGCUUACUAGGGACACGGUAUUUGUUUAUGUAUUCACACAUGUAUUUAAGUUUCCGACCAAUACAAUUCUAGCAUGAAUAAUAAACCUUUAUCAUUAAUAAAGAAAUAUAAUAUAAAAUAACAACUUUAUUAUUGCCUCUACGACAUAUUUCCUUCAGUAUGGAGAUACCGACGAUCGAAUCACGGGCAAGUAACAUAUCGCCGGACAAAGGGAAUUGCAGACGGGAUUGAUUGAAUCCUUGACAUAGUGGUUCAACAAAUAAAGAUCUCCAUGGAAUAUGUAGGAACCAUAUGGGCAUCCAGAUCCCGCUAUUGUUUAUGGACAUGAGAGGUUGUGCAUAUGUCUCUCGAUGUAGUUUUGGUGAUUGAUGACAACACGUUUGCGGACUAAUCGUGUACUUUGAGCUUUUUAGAGAUUCAUCCUUUGGCACAAGACGAUCCUUUCCCUCGGAGUUCUAAUCUAAGACAGUGUAGCUCCUUCGUUUCUGUUUUGGUGGAUAUGUUUCGUAGGAGUCACCGUACUAUCAAGAGGGGGUCUGCUUUGGUAAGGCUAGGGUGGAAUCAACACGUACACAUCCUCCUUGCACCCUCUGAACCUUCCUGCUUCGAUGGAGCUUCCAUUUUCUUCCCAAGUGUUUUUUGUCCCAGCGGUAGUACCGCGGUGCCCAGCGGUAGUACCGCUCAAGAGCCACAGGCAGUAGUACCGCUCUGCAGCGGUAGUACCGCCUGGGGGUCCUCAGCCGUAGUACCGCCGCGGUACUGGGCUUCUACCUCCUCGACUCGAGGAGGUCGCCUCUCGUGUCGGGUUGUGCGGCACUAUGCAGCGGCAGUAGAAGCGGUAGUACCGCCCUAUCUCCGCGGUAGUACCGCACAUGGUCCUUUGUCUGCCCAUCUAUUUGCCCUUCCUGACUACAUGUCAGUACCGCGAGGGGGAGCGGUAGUACUGUUGGGCCCAGCGGUAGUACCGCUGCCCCCUGCGGUAGUACCGCCCUCUGCGGGGUUGUUUUGGGGGGUAACGGUUGGUUUGUCCCCCCCUCCCCACUAUAAAAGGAGGUCUUCUUCUCCAAAGUUGACUCACCUCUUCCCCCCUAAGCUCCAUUGUUGCUCCAAGCUCCAUUUUCGCCUGAUCUCUCUCCCUAGCCAAUCAAACUUGUUGAUUUGCUCAGGAUUGGUUGAGAAGGCCCCGAUCUACACUUCCACCAAGAGAAAUUUGAUUCCCUCACUAAUCCCUAGCGGAUCUUGUUACUCUUGGGUGUUUGAGCACCCUAGACGGUUGAGUUCACCUCAGAGCCAUAGUCCAUUGUGGUGAAGCUUCGUGGUGUCGUUGGGAGCCUCCAAUUCAGUUGUGGAGAUUGCCCCAACCUUGUUUGUAAAGGUCGGUUGCCGCCUCCGAGGGCACCAAUAGUGGAAUCACGGCAUCUCGCAUUGUGUGAGGGCGUGAGGAGAAUACGGUGGCCCUAGUGGCUUCUUGGGGAGCAUUGUGCCUCUAUACCCCUCUAACGGAGACGUACUUCCCCUUAAAAGGAAGGAACUUCGGUAACACAUCCCCGUCUCCAUCGGUUCCCCUUUUGGUUAUCUCUCACCUUUACUUGUGCAAGCUUACUUUGUGUUGCCUCUCUUGCUUGCUUGUGUGCUUGUUGUUAUUGCAUCAUAUAGGUUGCUCACCUAGUUGCAUAUCUAGACAACCUACUUUGAUGCAAAGUUGAAAUUGGUUAAGAAAAGCUAAAAAUUGUUAGUUGCCUAUUUACCCCCCCCCCCUCUAGUCAACUAUAUCGAUCCUUUCAGAGGUGUCUUGGUCAUGUCUACAUGAUUCUCAAACCCGUAGGGUCGCACGCUUAACGUCCGAUGACGCUAGAGUAGUAUGGGAUAUUAGCAUUGGUGAACGAAAGUUGCUCAGAGUCCAGGAUGAGAUCCCGAACGUCACGAGGAGUUUCGGAAUGGUCCGGAGAUAAAGAUUUAUAUAUGGGAAGUCUUAUUUGGGCCACCGGAAAGAUUUCGGGUUUUGUCGGUAUUGUACGAGAGUGCCAAAAGGAUUCUGGGGGUCCACCGGGGGGUCCACCUGCCUCGAAGGGCCACAUGGGCAGCAAAUGGGACACACCAGCCCCUGGUGGGUUGGGCACCACUUCCCCACCUAGGCCCAUGCGCCUAGGGUUGGUGGGAACCCUAGAUGGGGGCGUCCCCUUGGCUUGGGGGGCAAGCGACCCCCUAGGGCCACCGCCCCCUCCUUGGAGAGGGCUCGGGCCGACGCUCCCUCCCCCCUUGUGUUGGGGAACGUAGUAAUUCAAAAAAAUUCCUACGAUCAUGCAAGAUCUAUCUAGGAGAUGCAUAGCAAAGAGACGGGAGAGUGUGUCCACGUGCCCUCGUAGACCAAAAGCGGAAGCGUUUAAUAACGCGGUUGAUGUAGUUGAACGUCUUCAUGAUCCAACCAAUACAAGUAUCAAACGUACGACACCUCCGUGUUCAGCACACGUUCAGCAUGAUGACGUCCCUCGAACCCUUGAUCCAGUUGAGGACGAGGGAGAGUUCCGUCAGCACGACGGCGUGGCGACGGUGUUGAUGAUGUUACCGACGCAGGCCUUCGCCUAAGCACUACAACGAUAUGACCGAGGUGUUGAACUGUGGAGGGGGCACCGCACAUGGCUAAGAGAACAACUAUUAUGCUUUGGGGUGUCCCCUGCCUCCGUAUAUAAAGGAGGGAGGAGGAGGCCGGCCAAGGGGAGGCGCGCCAAGGGGGGGAGUCCUACUAGGACUCCAAACCUAGUAGGAUCCCCCUUUUUUUCCUAAUCCAAGAGGGGGAAGGAGGGAAGGAAAGGGUGAGGGGAAGGAAAGAGGGGGCCGCACCCCCUCUCCCUAGUCCAAUUUGGACUGCUAAGGGGAGGGGCGCGCGCCACCUUGUGGCCUUCCCUCUCCUACUUCCUUAUGGCCCAUCUAGGCCCAUAACAUCCCCGAGGGGUUCCGGUAACCCCUCGGUUCCCCCAAAAAUGCCCAAACUCAUCUGAAACCUUUCUAGUGUUCAAACAUAGCCUUCCAAUAUAUCAAUCUUUAUAUCUGGAGCAUUUCGAGACUCCUAGUCAUGUCGGUGAUCUCAUUCGGGACUCUGAAUAAACUUCGUUCAUCAAGAACACAUAACUCAUAAUACAAAUUGUCAUCGAACGUUAAGCGUGCGGACCCUACGGGUUCGAGAACUAUGUAGACAUGAUCGAGAUACAUCUCCGAUCAAUAACCAAUAGUGGAACCUGGAUGCACAUAUUGGCUCCUACAUACUCUAUGAAGAUCUUUAUCGGUCAAACCGCAUAACAACAUACGUUGUUCCCUUUGUCAUUGGUAUGUUACUUGCCCGAGAUUCGAUCGGCGGUAUCAUGAUACCUAGUUCAAUCUCAUUACCAGCAAUUCUCUUUACUCGUUCCAUAAUGCUUCAUCCCGCAAUUAACUCAUUAGUCACAUUGCUUGCAAGGCUUAUAGUGAUGAGCAUUACCGAGAGGGCCCAGAGAUACUUCUCUGAAACACGGAGUGACAAAUCCUAAUCUCGAUCUAUGCCAACCCAACAAACACCUUCGGAGACACCUUUAGAGCAUCUUUAUAAUCACCCAGUUACAUUGUGAUGUUUGAUAGCACACAAGGUGUUCCUCCGGUAUUCGGGAGUUGCAUAAUCUCAUAGUCCGAGGAACAUGUAUAAGUCAUGAAGAAAGCAGUAGCAAUGAAACUGUAAUGAUCAUAAUGUUAAGCUAACGGAUGGGUCUUGUCCAUCACAUCGUUCUCCUAAUGAUGUGAUCUCGUACAUCAAAUGACAACACAUGUCUAUGGUUAGGAAACAUAACCAUCUUUGGUUAAUGAGCUAGUCAAGUAGAGGCAUACUAGGGACACUAUGUUUUGCCUAUGUAUUCACAAAUGUACUAAGUUUCUGGUUAAUACAAUUCUAACAUGAAUAAUAAACAUUUAUCAUGAUAUAAGGAAAUAUAAAUAACAACUUUAUUAUUGCCUCUAGGGCAUAUUUCCUUCAGUAUCCCAUUUGCACUAGAGUCAAUAAUCUAGAUUACACAGUAAUGAUUCUAACACCCAUGGAGUCUUGGUGUUGAUCAUGUUUUGCUCGUGGAAGAGGCUUAGUCAACAGGUUUGCAACAUUCAGAUACGUAUGUAUCUUACAAAUCUCUAUGUCUCCCUCCGACACUUGAUGACGAAUGGAAUUGAAGCGUCUCUUGAUGUGUUUGGUUCUCUUGUGAAAUCUGGAUUCCUUUGCCAAGGCAAUUGCACCAAUAUUGUCGCAAAAGAUUUUCAUUGGACCUGAUGCACUAGGUAUAACAACUAGAUCGGAUAUGAAAUCGUUCAUCCAGACUCCUUCAUUUGCUGCUUCCGAAGUAGCUAUGUACUCCGCUUCACACGUACAUCCUGCCAGGAUGCUCUGCUUGGAACUGCACCAACUGACAGCUCCACCAUUCAAUAUAAAUAUGUAUCUGGAUUGAGACUUAGAGUCAUCUAGAUCAGUGUCAAAGCUUGCAUCGACGUAACCAUUUACGACGAGCUCUUUGUCACCUCCAUAAACGAGAAACAUAUCCUUAGUCCUUUUCAGGUAUUUCAGGAUGUUCUUGACCGUUGUCCGGUGCUCCACUCCUGGAUUACUUUGGUACCUCCCUGCUACACUUAUAGCAAGGCACACAUCAGGUCUGGUAACAGUAUUGCAUACAUGAUAGAAGCUAUGGCUGAAGCAUAGGAAAUGACUUUCAUUUUCUCUCUAUCUUCUGCAGUGGUCGGGCAUUGAGUCUGACUCAACUUCACACCUUGUAACACAGGCAAGAACCCUUUCUUUGACUGAUCCAUUUUGAACUUCUUCAAAACUUUAUCAAGGUAUGUGCUUUGUGAAAGUCCAAUUAAGCAUCUUGAUCUAUCUCUAUAGAUCUUGAUGCCCAAUAUGUAAGCAGCUUCGCCGAGGUAUUUCAUUAAAAAACUCUUAUUCAAGCAUCCUUUUAUGCUAUCCAGAAAUUAUAUAUCAUUUCCAAUCAACAAUAUGUCAUCCAUAUAUAAUAUUAUAAAUGCUACAGAGCUCCCACUCACUUUUUUGUAAAUGCAGGCUUCUCCAAUAGUCUAUAUAAAACCAUAUGCUUUGAUCACACUAUCAAAGCAUUUAUUCCAACUCCGAGAGGCUUGCACCAGUCCAUAAAUGGAUCGCUGGAGCUUGCACACUUUGUUAGGACCAUUUGGAUCGACAAAACCUUCUGGUUGCAUCAUAUACAACUCUUCUUCCAGAAAUCCAUUAAGGAAUGCAGUUUUUACAUCCAUCUGCCGAAUUUCAUAAUCAUAAAAUGCGGCAAUUGCUGACAUGAUUCGGACAGACUUAAGCAUCGCUACAGGUGAGAAAGUCUCAUCAUAGUUAACUCCUUGAACUUGUCAAAAAUCUUUCGCAACAAGUCGAGCUUUGUAGACAGUAACAUUACCGUCAGUGUCAGUCUUCUUCUUGAAGAUCCAUUUAUUUUCUAUAGCUUGCCGAUCAUUGGGAAAAUCCACGUAAGUCCAUAUUUUGUUCUCAUACAUGGAUCCCAUCUCAGAUUUCAUGGCCUCAAGCCAUUUCGCGGAAUCUGGGCUCAUCAUCGCUUCCUCAUAAGUCGUAGGUAAUCCUGUUCUGGAAGUCUAGUAACAUCACUUCCAGAACAGGAUUACCGUACCACUCUUGUUGGGGAUAUUAUCACUAGGCGUAAACCGGCUUACUUGGGCCGGGUUAACUUCAUUAGUGAUAUAAGCAGAUGAAGGCCCAAGGCCUAUAGUCGGUUUAGAAUCUGUAGCCGUAAACCGACCUGAUGUAUAACUUGUAUUGUAAGUUAGGAAUAGAGAGAUACCAACCGGGAUACGAAUAUGAACCGGUUGGGACUCUAUGGACCGACGGGCGUCACCCGUGUAUAUAAGGGGACGACCCGGCGGCGGUUCAGGACAGACGACGACAACUCGAGCCUGGGCGAAGCUUGUUUGCUCCCUAGCCAUCGAGACCAUAUCAAUUCCAUCACAACUAGACGUAGGCUUUACCUUCAUCGAAGGGGCCAAACUAGUAUAAAACCCUCGUGUCUUUGUGUCCGCUUUAACCCCUUCAAGUAAACCCGUGGCGAUGGCUCCACGACUAAGUCCUUUCACUAGGACAUCUGCCGUGACAAAUCCACGACAGUUGGCGCCCACCGUGGGGCUAUCGCGCGAUGGUUUGACGAUCUUGGAGGGCAAGCUCAAAGGACUCGAAGGCUAUGCUGUGGGCCAGAUGACCAAGAGUCGUCGUGGCAAGAUCUACAUCGACGAUGCAGGAUGGGGUCCCGAGGCCGAUUCGAUUGAGUACGGGUACCGGGUCCCCUUUGGUGGCAUACACGUUUUCAUCGGCAAGAUCGGUGAGCCGGGGCCUGAGCUGGACAUCUGCAUCGACCUCGUCGAGACGGCUCAGCGUGCGAGAUCUACCCAGGCUAAACCGGCCGUGAAGCGUGCCUUCGUUGGAGUCAUCCACGGAGGAAGGCGUGAGGACGAGUCAGAACACGGUAGCGAGGCCGUCGUCUAUUCCGGCGACGAGUCCUCGACCGAAGAGACCGAAUCACUAAACCAGUUACAAGACGACCAGGUUAGGGGCUGUUCCGAUGGCGACAGUAUUUCGGACCCCCCAGGCCAGGUCAACCGGGUUGGAAUAUUCAUGGCCGGCACACAGGCGGCAAAUCACUCUUCGACCGCCGCAGCAAUGCUCUCCGGAUCAGCAGGGGCAGGAGGCCUUGUGUGCCCGCCGGUUCAAGUUCUAUCUGAUCUAUUUGAUACUCUAGCCGCACUCAUGGCAGAGGACAAUCCAACAGAUCAGGAGGCCCAUAAUACAGAAAUUGCAAAGGUGAGAGAGCAGAUCGUGCAAGCCAAAGCGGAUCUGGCCGCAGAAAAAGACACGAUGGCCGCAGAGCGAGCCGCUUUGGACGCCCAGGCUUAUAAGCUCAUGCUUGACCAGAACGCAUCACAGGAGGUCUUAAAGCGGAAGCACAGGUCACGCCUGCCGUUAGGGUUUGAUCCCCGGAAUCUCUUUCACACUCCAGGAGCUGGACCCAGUAAUCCGCCGCGGCACCUGGAGACAAAACCGGAUUGAGGCACCAGGACCAGGAGGGACGGUCCAACCUCGCCUGAUGGAACCUCCUCAGCAGAACAUUGUGAUUCUUCCGCCGGUCCAAACGCCCCCAGGUCAUUAUUCUAAUCCUAUGGACAACCUUGUUGCGGCCGCCGCGCGAUUAGAGGCUAUCCCAGUCGAAGGGGACUCUCCGCAAGCGAUAGAGACGCGCCGGGUUAAGGAGCUUCUCCGGACCGCGCUGAUUCAGCAGGAAGCAUACUCGUACAGCCGUGAUUGGAUUCACUCUACGCCCCGUCCAAGCCGGAGCUAUAGCAGGCGCAUGGAUGAACCGGCCAUAUCGAGCAAUGCGCGAGGCCGUGAGGCAGCCCAUGGCAAUAGCCCGGCAGGCGGUGUUCGCGACGCUCAGGAUGUGGUGGACCGGGCCCGGGCACGGAGGGAAGCCGAGUUAGCAGCGCAGGAUGAUGCAGAUCAACUUACACCGGUUCGCCCUACCACCUUCGCCGGACCAGGAGUCGCAUCCGCUUUGGGAAUGCCUUGUUUAAUCCCCGCUUUACGCAAUGUGCGCCUGCCCAAAGAUUUCAAGGGUCCACGCAAGGUGCCGAAUUACACCGCUGAUUUAUCCCCUGAAGCAUGGAUAGAGAGUUAUGAGAUGGCCAUGGAGAUGUUAGACGUGGAUGAGACCGCAUGUGUAAAAUACUUCACCAUGAUGCUUGAAGGCACGGCGCGUACCUGGUUGAAGAGCCUACCGCCCAAUUCUAUCGGCUCAUGGGCCCAGUUGCGGGCCCGGUUUAUCCAGAAUUUCAAGGAUACGUGUAAGCAGCCCAAAUCCAUAGUAGACCUGGCGGCUUGUGUCCAGGGGGAAGGAGAAUCAACGACCCAUUGGGUGUGCCGCGUUUCGGAAAUUUUGCACUCGUCCGACAGGAUUAAUGCUGACUCUGCAAUCUUAACCCUGGAAGGCAACUGCCGGUUUGAGCCUUUAAAAUUGAAAUUGGGACGCAUGAAGCGGUUCUGUAAUGACAUGGGAACCCUCAUGGCCGCUCUAGUGAAGUAUGCUGAUUCGGACAGUACCAAAGAUCCCGAGACUGAUGAUGAUGAAGCAGGGAAGGGAAGGAAGAAUAGCAACUCCAAACAGCAGCAGUAUAAACCGGCGGCUCAUGGAAACGGAGUCAAGCGCAAGGCGGAUGGCAGCAUGGACUUUGUGGCCAACACUAAUGCACAGGACAGGGGGCAGCGGCGCAGAGGUAAAGCGGCAAAUCGUAAUGGGGCUCCUAAUCCUAACGCAAGCCGCUUGAGUUAUUUGAUGAAUCAGCCUUGCCCGAAGCACGGGACGAAGGAGGCGCCGGCUAACCAUCUUUGGAAGGAUUGUUAUAUCAUGCAGGAGUUUAAAAACUCUAAUGCUUUCCGGUAUGAUCACGGGUCAGGUGGCGGUUCAGGAUCCGGUUUUCGUGGGCCGGAUCACGAUGGAGCUUCCGGUUCAGGUCGCAAUCCGGGCGGUCACAAUCAUCAGAAUAAUCAGAACAGCCAGCAGCAGCAGCAGCAGCAGUCGGGUUAUCAGAGCCAGCCAAAACAGUUGAACAAUGGGCAAUAUCAUGUUUUCACAACUAGCUUGGAUAAACGCGGCCGAAAACUCCACAAGCGAGCAGUGACUUCUGCUGAACCGGCCUUACCACGUUACUUGCGCUGGUCGGAACAGCCUAUCAUGUGGAGCAGAGAGGAUCACCCGCCCCGGGUUGAUAAUCCGGGCCAGCUAGCAUUAGUGGUGGACCCUCAGGUGGGGGGUUAUAAAUUCACCAAGGUACUCAUGGAUGGAGGAAGCAGUAUUAACAUACUAUACUAUGAGACAUUCCGUCGCAUGGGUUUAACAGACAAGGAUCUCAGACCGUCUAAUACGGUGUUCCAUGGUGUGGUGCCUGGCAAAUCUGCAUAUCCUGUUGGUAAGAUAGCCCUGGACGUGGUUUUUGGGGACGAGCACGAUCCCGGUCGGAAAAACUAACAUUUGAGGUGGUGAAGAUCCAGAGCCCAUAUCAUGCCUUGUUUGGCCGGCCGGCUUACGCCAAGUUCAUGGCGCGGCCUUGUUAUAUCUACUUGCAGCUCAAGAUGCCGGGUUACAAGGGGACAAUAACGGUUCAUGGGAGCCGUAGGGUUGCUUUGGAAUGUGAGGAAGGUGAUGCGGCUUAUGCAGAGUCGGUCUGUGCCACGGAGGAGUUGAAGUACUAUAAGGACAAUGUUGAUCCAACCGAUAUGACUCCUUUGAAGAAGCCAACUACAGAGCAUGAUUCGGAUCUGAAGUUCAAAUCGGCAGCUGAGACCAAGCUUGUUGACUUCGUGCCCGGCGAUUCAUCCAAGCAGUUCACUGUCAGUGCCAAUUUGGAUCCCAAAUAGGAAAGCGCGCUCAUCGAGUUCAUCCAUGAGAAUCGGGACAUCUUCGCAUGGAAACCAUCCGACAUGCCAGGUGUACCGAGGGAACUCGCUGAGCACACUCUUAAUGUGGAUCCUAGGUAUAAACCGGUGAGGCAAUUCCUCCGCCGGUUUAACGAAGAAAGGCGAAAGGCCAUUGGAGAGGAAGUGGCCAGGCUUUUGGCAGCUAGCUUUAUCAUUGAGGUGUUCCAUCCAGAGUGGCUUGCUAAUCCGGUGCUGGUUCUUAAGAAAAAUGGCACUUGGCGUAUGUGUGUGGAUUACACAGAUCUUAACAGGGCCUGUCCAGCGGAUCCUUUUGCCCUCCCCCGCAUUGACCAGAUCAUUGAUGCUACGGCGGGUUGUGAGCGUUUGAGUUUUUUGGAUGCAUACUCUGGAUAUCACCAGAUCAAAAUGGCGGUUAAGGACCAGGAGAAAACAGCGUUUAUUACUCCCUUUGGAGCCUUCUGCUAUGUAUCUAUGCCCUUCGGACUCAAGAGUGCCCAAGCCACCUAUCAACGGUGUGUACAGAAUUGCCUGCAUAAACAGACCGGCCGCAAUGUGCACGCCUAUGUGGAUGAUAUUGUAGUAAAAUCAAGGCAGAAGGAGACGCUGGUGGAUGACUUGAAGGAAACUUUUGAUAACUUGCGGGUUUACAAGAUGAUGCUUAAUCCGGCCAAGUGUGUCUUUGGUGUUCCGGCAGGUAAGUUACUAGGUUUCCUGGUGUCUAAUAGAGGAAUUGAGGCUAAUCCGGAGAAGAUUACAGCUAUCACCUCCCUGGCUAAACCGAAGUGCAUCAAUGAUGUUCAGCGCUUGGCGGGCCGAAUCGCCGCACUAAGCCGGUUUAUCAGCCGCCUCGGAGAAAAGGCCAUUCCUUUGUACGAAAUGCUGAGGAAGACAGACCAUUUCAUUUGGAGUCCGGCUGCUGACGAAGCAUUUGAGGACUUGAAGCGGCAGUUAGCCAAUCCGCCUGUCCUUGCAGCUCCGGUCGACAAGGAGCCACUAUUAUUAUACGUAGCAGCCAAUGCUCGGGCAGUUAGCGUGGCUAUUAUGGUGGAACGCAAGGAGGCAGGCAAGGAAUAUCCGGUUCAGCGGCCGGUUUAUUAUAUCAGCGAAGUGCUUAUUGAAUCCAAGCAAAGGUAUCCGCAUUGGCAGAAGCUGGUAUAUGGUGUUUUCAUGGCCAGUCGGAAGUUGAAGCAGUAUUUUCAAGGGCACCCCAUCACAGUGGUCAGUUCAGCUCCCUUGGGUGACAUCAUACAGAACCGGGAGGCGACUGGCCGGAUUGCCAAGUGGGCUAUAGAGCUUGGGCCACACGGACUGAAGUAUGUACCUCGGACGGCGGUGAAGUCUCAAGCACUUGUUGAUUUCAUCAAUGAUUGGACGAAGUUACAAGCACCAGAGGAGAAGCCAGAUCACACAUAUUGGACUAUUCAUUUUGAUGGAUCCAGGCAACUGGAAGGCUCGGGGGCUGGAGUCGUAUUAACUUCCCCACGAGGUGAUAAGUUUUGUUAUGUUCUCCGCUUAAUGUUCCCUUGUACUAAUAAUGCAGCUGAGUACGAAGCCUUGCUCCAUGGUCUCCGGAUGGCUAAAGAGAUGAACUUAAGCCGGGUUAAGUGCUUCGGUGACUCGGACCUCGUGGCCCAACAGGUGUCUGGCACUUGGGAUUCUAAGGACCCGCUUAUGGAUGCAUAUCGUCGGGAGGUGGAUAAUAUUGCGGGUUGUUUCAAGGGUUAUCAAGUGGAUCAUGUGGACCGUCGGAAGAAUGAAGCGGCGGACGCUUUAAGCCAGUUGGGUUCUCAGCGCAAACCGGUUCCGCCUAAUGUCUUUCUGGACGUGUUGCACAACCCGUCAGUCUGUUGGAAAUAUGCCCUAGAGGCAAUAAUAAAAGUAUUAUUAUUAUAUUUCCUUGUUCAUGAUAAUUGUCUUUUAUUCAUGCUAUAACUGUAUUAUCCGGAAAUCGUAAUACACGUGUGAAUACAUAGACCACAAUAUGUCCCUAGUGAGCCUCUAGUUGACUAGCUCGUUGUGACCAACAGAUAGUCAUGGUUUCCUGGCUAUGGACAUUGGAUGUCGUUGAUAACGGGAUCACAUCAUUAGGAGAAUGAUGUGAUGGACAAGACCCAAUCCUAAGCUUAGCACAAAGAUCGUGUAGUUCGUUUGCUAGAGCUUUGCCAAUGUCAAGUAUCUCUUCCUUUGACCAUGAGAUCGUGUAACUCCUGGAUACCGUAGGAGUGCUUUGGGUGUAUCAAACGUCACAACGUAACUGGGUGACUAUAAAGGUGCACUACAGGUAUCUCCGAAAGUAUCUAUUGUUUUAUGCGGAUCGAGACUGGGAUUUGUCACUCUGUGUAAACGGAGAGGUAUCUCUGGGCCCACUCGGUAGGACAUCAUCAUAUGCGCAAUGUGACCAAGGAGUUGAUCACGGGAUGAUGUGUUACGGAACGAGUAAAGUGACUUGCCGGUAACGAGAUUGAACAAGGUAUCGGUAUACCGACGAUCGAAUCUCGGGCAAGUAAAAUACCGCUAGACAAAGGGAAUUGUAUACGGGAUUGAUUAAGUCCUUGACAUCGUGGUUCAUCCGAUGAGAUCAUCGUGGAACAUGUGGGAGCCAACAUGGGUAUCCAGAUCCUGCUGUUGGUUAUUGACCGGAGAACGUCUCGGUCAUGUCUGCAUGUCUCCCGAACCCGUAGGGUCUACACACUUAAGGUUCGAUGACGCUAGGGUUAUAAAGGAAGCUUGUAUGUGGUUACCGAAUGUUGUUCGGAGUCCCGGAUGAGAUCCCGGACGUCACGAGGAGUUCCGGAAUGGUCCGGAGGUAAAGAUUUAUAUAUAGGAAGUCCUGUUUCGGCCAUCGGGACAAGUUUCGGGGUUAUCGGUAUUGUACCGGGACCACCGGAAGGGUCCCGGGGGCCCACCGGGUGGGGCCACCUGCCCCGGGGGGCCACAUGGGCUGUAGGGGGUGCGCCUUGGCCUACAUGGGCCAAGGGCACCAGCCCCAAGAGGCCCAUGCGCCUAGGGAACCCUAGAGGGAAGAGUCCUCAAAGGGGAAGGCACCUCCGAGGUGCCUUGGGGAGGAUGGACUCCUCCCCCCUUCCUUAGCCGCACCCCUUUCUUGGAGUAGGGGGCAAGGCUGCGCCUCCCCCCUCUCCCCUGCCCCUAUAUAUAGUGGAGGGAAGGGAGGGCAUCCAUACCUGAGCCCUUGGCGCCUCCCUCCCUCCCGUGACACCUCCUCCUCUCCCAUAGGUGCUUGACGAAGCCCUGCGGGAUUGCCACGCUCCUCCACCACCACCACGCCGUUGUGCUGCUGCUGGAUGGAGUCUUCCUCAACCUCUCCCUCUUUCCUUGCUGGAUCAAGGCGUGGGAGACGUCACCGGGCUGUACGUGUGUUGAACGUGGAGGUGCCGUCCGUUCGGCACUUGAUCAUCGGUGAUUUGAAUCACGACGAGUACGACUCCAUCAACCCCGUUCACUUGAACGCUUCCGCUUAGCGAUCUACAAGGGUAUGUAGAUGCACUCCCCUUUCUACUCGUUGCUGGUCUCUCCAUAGAUAGAUCUUGGUGUUACGUAGGAAAUUUUUUGAAUUUCUGCUACGUUCCCCAACAGUGGCAUCAUGAGCUAGGUCUAUUGCGUAGAUUCUUUGCACGAGUAGAACACAAAGUAGUUGUGGGCGUUGAUGUUGUUCAAUAUGCUUACCGUUACUAGUCCAAUCUUGUUUCGACGGUAUUGUGGGAUGAAGCGGCCCGGACCGACCUUACACGUACUCUUACGUGAGACAGGUUCCACCGAUUGACAUGCACUUGGUGCAUAAGGUGGCUAGCGGGUGCCAGUCUCUCCCACUUUAGUCGGAACGGAUUCGAUGAAAAGGGUCCUUAUGAAGGGUAAAUAGCAAUUGGCAUAUCACGUUGUGGUCUUGCGUAGGUAAGAAACGUUCUUGCUAGAAACCCAUAGCAGCCACGUAAAACAUGCAAACAACAAUUAGAGGACGUCUAACUUGUUUUUGCAGGGUAUGCUUUGUGAUGUGAUAUGGCCAAAAGGAUGUGAUGAAUGAUAUAUGUGAUGUAUGAGAUUGAUCAUGUUCUUGUAAUAGGAUUCACGACUUGCAUGUCGAUGAGUAUGACAACCGGCAGGAGCCAUAGGAGUUGUCUUUAUUUUUUGUAUGACCUGCGUGUCAUUGAAGAACGCCAUGUAACCUACUUUACUUUAUUGCUAAACGCGUUAGUCAUAGAAGUAGAAGUAGUCGUUGGCGUGACAACUUCAUGAAGACACGAUGAUGGAGAUCAUGAUGAUGGAGAUCAUGGUGUCAUGCCGGUGACAAGAUGAUCAUGGAGCCCCGAAGAUGAAGAUCAAAAGGAGCAAAAUGAUAUUGGCCAUAUCAUGUCACUAUUUGAUUGCAUGUGAUGUUUAUCAUGUUUAUGCAUCUUGUUUACUUAGGACGACGGUAGUAAAUAAGAUGAUCCCUCAUUAAAAUUUCAAGAAGUGUUCUCCCCUAACUGUGCACCGUUGCUACAGUUCGUCGUUUCGAAGCACCACGUGAUGAUUGGGUGUGAUAGAUUCUUACGUUCACAUACAACGGGUGUAAGACAGUUUUACACAGCGAAAACACUUAGGGUUAACUUGACGAGCCUAGCAUGUACAGACAUGGCCUCGGAACACGGAGACCGAAAGGUCGAGCAUGAGUCGUAUAGUAGAUACGAUCAACAUGAAGAUGUUCACCGAUGAUAACUAGUCCGUCUCACGUGAUGAUCGGACACGGGCUAGUUGACUCGGAUCAUGUAAUCACUUAGAUGACUAGAGGGAUGUCUAUCUGAGUGGGAGUUCAUAAGAUGAACUUAAUUAUCCUGAACAUAGUCAAAAGACCUUUUGCAAAUUAUGUCGUAGCUCGCGCUAUAGUUCUACUGUUUAGAUAUGUUCCUAGAGAAAAUAUAGUUGAAAGUUGAUAGUAGCGAUUAUGCGAUCAGUAGAAAGCUUAUGUCCUUAAUGCACUGCUUAGUGUGCUGAACCCCAAACGUCGUUUGUGGAUGUUUCGAACAUCGAACAUACACGUUUUGAUAACUACGUGAUAGUUCAGUUAAAUGGUUUAAGUAGAGGCACCAAAGACGUUUUUCGAAACGUCGCGGAACAUAUGAGAUGUUUCGAGGGCUGAAAUUGGGAUUUCAAGCUCGUGCCCACGUCAAGAGGUAUGAGACCUCCGACAAUUUUCUUAGCCUACAAACUAAGGGAGAAAAGCUCAAUCGUUGAGCUUGUGCUCAGAUUGUCUGAGUGCAACAAUCACUUGAAUCGAGUGGGAGUUGAUCUUCCAGAUGAGAUAGUGAUGUUUCCCCAAAGUCAUUGCCACCAAGCUGCUAGAGCUUCGUGAUGAACUAUAACAUAUCAAGGAUAGAGAUGAUGAUCCGCGUUGUUUGACAUCGCGAAAGUAGAAAUCAAGAAGGAGCAUCAAUUGUUGAUGGUUGAUGAAACCACUAGUUUCAAGAAGGGCAAGGGAAAGAAGGGAUACUUCAUGAAACGGCAAAUCAGCUGCUGCACCAAUGAAGAAACCCGAGGUUGAACCCAAACCCGAGACUAAGUGCUUCUGUAAUAAGGGGAACAACCAAUGGAGCAGGAUUACCCUAGAUACUUGGUAGAUGAGAAGGCUGGCAAGGUCAAUAGAAGUAUAUUGGAUAUACAUUAUGUUAAUGUGUACUUUACUAGUACUCCUAGUAGCACCAGGGUAUUAGAUACCGGUUCGGUUGCUAAGUGUUAGUAACUCGAAAUAAAAGGCUACGGAAUAAACGGAGACUAGCUAAAGGUGAGCUGACGAUAUGUGUUGGAAGUGUUUCCAAUGUUGAUAUGAUCAAGCAUCGCACGCUCCCUCUACCAUCAAGAUUAGUAAUAAACCUGAAUAAGAGCUCUUGCACCUAAAGGAAUGGUUUAUUGAAUUUUGAUCGUAGUGAUACACAUUUUCAUGCCAAAAGAUAUAAGAUAGUAAUGAUAGUACCACUUACUUGUGGCACUGCCAUGUAAGUCAUAAUGGUAUAAACGCAUGAAGAAGCUCCAUGUUGAUGGAUCUUUGGACUCACUCGUUUUUGAAAAGUUUGAGACAUGCGAACCAUGUCUAUUGGUGUAUAUGCAUGAAGAAACUCCAUGCAAAUGGAUCGUUCGGACUCACUUGAUUUUGAAUCACUUGAGAUAUGCAAAUCAUACCACAUGGGCAAGAUGACUGAAAAGCCUCAUUUUCAGUAAGAUGGAACAAGAUAGCAACUUGUUGGAAGUAACACAUUUUGAUGUGUCCAAUCCAAUGAGUGCUGAGGCAUGCAGUGAAUAUCAUUAUGAUCUUACUUCACAGAUGAUUCGAGUAGAUGUUGAGAAUAUUUACUUGAUGAAACACAAGUCUGAAUUAUUGAAUGGUUCAAGUAAUUUCAGAGUGAAGUAGAAGAUCAUUGUGACAAGAGGAUAAAAUGUCUAUGAUAUGAUCAUAGAGAUGAAUAUCUGAGUUACGAGUUUUGGCACACAAUUAAGACAUUAUGGAAAUUGUUUCACAAUUAAAUACCGCCUGGAACAGCAUAGUUUGAUGGUGUGUCCGAACAUCAUAAUUGCACCCUAUUGGAUAUGGUGCGUACCAUGAUGUCUCUUAUCAAAUUACCACUAUCGUUCACGGGUUAGGCAUUAGAGACAACCACAUUCACUUUAAAUAGGGCACCACGUAAUUCCGAUGAGAUGACACCGUAUGAAUUAUGGUUUAGAGAAACCUAAGUUGUCGUUUCUUAAAGGUUUGGGGCUGCGACGCUUAUGUGAAAAAGUUUCAGGAUUAAGCUCGAACCCAAAGCGGAUAAAAUGCAUCUUCAUAGGACACCCAAAACAGUUGGGUAUACCUCCUAAUUCAGAUCCGAAAGCAAUAUGGAUUGUUUCUUGAAUCGGCUCCUUUCUUGAGGAAAGGUUUCUCUCGAAAGAGUUGAGUGGGAGGAUGGUGGAGACUUGAUGAGGUUAUUGAACUGUCUCCUCAACUAGUGUGUGGCAGGGCACAGGAAGUUGUUCCUGUGGCACCUACACCAAUUGAAGUGGAAGCUUAUGAUAUUGAUCAUGAAACUUCGGAUCAAGUCACUACCAAACCUCGUGGGAUGACAAGGAUGCGUACUACUUCAGAGUGGUACGUAAUCCUGUCUUGGAAGUCAUGUUGCUGGACAACAAUGAACCUACGAGCUAUGGAGAAGCGAUGGUGGGCCCGGAUUUCAAUAAAUGGCUCGAGGCCAUAAAAUCCGAGAACGGAUCCAUGGACUUUGGUGGACUUGCCCGAUGAUCGGCAAGCCAUUAAGAUAAAUGGAUCUUUAAGAAGAAGACGGACGCGGAUGGUAAUGUCACCGUCCAUGAAGCUCGACUUGUGGCGAAAAGUUUUCACAAGUUCAAGGAGUUGACUACGAUGAGAUUUUCUCAUCCGUAGCGAUGCUUAAAGUCCGUCGGAUUCAUGUUAGCAUUAGCUGUAUUUAUGAAAUCUGGCAGAUGGAUAUCAAAACGAGUUUCCUUACCAGUUUUCGUGAGGAAAGGUUGUAUAUAAUACAAUCAGAAAGUUUUUGUCGAUCCUAAGGAUGCUAAAAGGUAUGCUAGCUCCAGCGAUCCUUCUAAGGACUGGAGUGAGCAUCUCGGAGUUGGAAUGUACGCUUUGAUAAGAUGAUCAAAGAUUUUGGUGUAUACAAAGUUUAUGAGAAACUUGUAUUUCCAAAGAAGUGAGUGGGAGCACUUUAGAAUUUCUGAUGAGUAUUUGUUGAUCAGAAAUGACGUAGAAUUUCUAGAAAGCAUACAGGGUUAUUUGGAAAGUGUUUUUCAAUAGAAAACCUGGAUUAAGCUACUUGAACAUUGAGCAUCAUGAUCUAUAAGGAUAGAUCAAAAUGCUUAAUAAUACUUUCAAAUGAGCACAUACCUUGACAUGAUCUUGAAGGUGUUCAAGAUGAACCAGUCAAAGAAGGAGUUCUUGCCUGAGUUGUAAGGUACGAAGUUAAGACUUAAAGCUCGACCACGGCAGAAUAGAGAGAAAGGACGAAGGUCGUCCCCUAUGCUUAAGACGUAGGCUCUUCAGUAUGCUAAGCUGUGUACCGCACCUGAAGUGUGCCUUGCCAUGAGUCAGUCAAGGGGUACAAGAGUGAUCCAUGAAUGGAUCACAGGACAGCGGUCAAAGUUAUCCUUGGUAACUAGUGGACUAAGGAAUUUUCUCGAUUAUGGAGGUGGUAAAAGAGUUCGUCGUUAAGGUUACGACGAUGCAAGCUUGACACCUAUCCGGAUAGCUCUGAGUAGAGAGACCGGAUACAUAUAAUGGAGCAAUAAUUUAGAAUAGCUCCAAGUAGAACAGUUGUUUGGAAUAGUUCCAAAUAGAGCGUGGUAGCUGCAUCUAGGAGAUGACAUAGAGAUUUGUAAAG
This 32482-nucleotide long non-coding RNA is filed under the name Triticum aestivum (bread wheat). RNAcentral describes it as "long non-coding RNA (TAES_LNC007559)". Lineage: Eukaryota; Viridiplantae; Streptophyta; Magnoliopsida; Poales; Poaceae. The record is from RNAcentral.